This 253-nucleotide ribosomal RNA is filed under the name uncultured bacterium. Its description in RNAcentral is "partial 16S ribosomal RNA". It matches the Rfam family "Bacterial small subunit ribosomal RNA", at positions 524 to 776 of the family's 1533-position model. The record is from RNAcentral.
UACGUAGGGGGCUAGCGUUGUCCGGAAUCAUUGGGCGUAAAGCGCGCGUAGGCGGCCCGGUAAGUCCGUUGUGAAAGUCAAAGGCUCAACCUUUGAAAGCCGAUGGAUACUGCCGGGCUGGAGUCCGGAAGAGGCGAGUGGAAUUCCUGGUGUAGCGGUGAAAUGCGCAGAUAUCAGGAGGAACACCGAUGGCGAAGGCAGCUCGCUGGAACGGAACUGACGCUGAGGCGCGAAAGCGUGGGGAGCGAACAGG